AAUAUUGUUUGGGGAGGAAUAGC
This 23-nucleotide non-coding RNA is filed under the name Cricetulus griseus (Chinese hamster). Lineage: Eukaryota; Metazoa; Chordata; Mammalia; Rodentia; Cricetidae. The record is from RNAcentral.